Molecule: ribosomal RNA, 1112 nt
Filed under: Apilactobacillus kunkeei
Lineage: Bacteria; Bacillati; Bacillota; Bacilli; Lactobacillales; Lactobacillaceae
Description: bacterial SSU rRNA
Rfam family: Bacterial small subunit ribosomal RNA
Source: RNAcentral
ACUCUCAAUUGUUUUUGCUUGCAUAAAUGAUUUUUGGAUUCGGAGCGAGUGGCGAACUGGUGAGUAACACGUGGGUAACCUGCCCCGAAGCGGGGGAUAACAUUUGGAAACAAGUGCUAAUACCGCAUAAUUAGUUGGAACCGCAUGGUUCCAACUUGAAAGAUGGCUCUGCUAUCACUUUGGGAUGGACCCGCGCCGUAUUAGUUAGUUGGUGAGAUAAAAGCCCACCAAGACGAUGAUACGUAGCCGACCUGAGAGGGUAAUCGGCCACAUUGGGACUGAGACACGGCCCAGACUCCUACGGGAGGCAGCAGUAGGGAAUCUUCCACAAUGGACGAAAGUCUGAUGGAGCAACGCCGCGUGAGUGAUGAAGGUUUUCGGAUCGUAAAACUCUGUUGUUAAAGAAGAACAAGUGUUAGAGUAACUGUUAACACUUUGACGGUAUUUAACCAGAAAGCCACGGCUAACUACGUGCCAGCAGCCGCGGUAAUACGUAGGUGGCAAGCGUUGUCCGGAUUUAUUGGGCGUAAAGCGAGCGCAGGCGGUUUUGUAAGUCUGCUGUGAAAGCCCUCAGCUCAACUGAGGAAGUGCAGUGGAAACUACAAAACUUGAGUACAGAAGAGGAAAGUGGAACUCCAUGUGUAGCGGUGAAAUGCGUAGAUAUAUGGAAGAACACCAGUGGCGAAGGCGGCUUUCUGGUCUGUUACUGACGCUGAGGCUCGAAAGCAUGGGUAGCGAACAGGAUUAGAUACCCUGGUAGUCCAUGCCGUAAACGAUGAAUACUAGGUGUUGGAGGGUUUCCGCCCUUCAGUGCCGCAGCUAACGCAUUAAGUAUUCCGCCUGGGGAGUACGACCGCAAGGUUGAAACUCAAAGGAAUUGACGGGGGCCCGCACAAGUGGUGGAGCAUGUGGUUUAAUUCGAUGCUACGCGAAGAACCUUACCAGCUCUUGACAUCUUCUGCCAACCCAAGAGAUUGGGCGUUCCCUUCGGGGACAGAUGACAGGUGGUGCAUGGUUGUCGUCAGCUCGUGUCGUGAGAUGUUGGGUUAAGUCCGCAACGAGCGCACCCUUAUUAUUAGUUGCCAGCAUUUAAUUGGGCACUCUAAUGAGAA